Molecule: non-coding RNA, 215 nt
Organism: Pelobates cultripes (western spadefoot toad)
Lineage: Eukaryota; Metazoa; Chordata; Amphibia; Anura; Pelobatidae
Source: the annotation of a GenBank genome assembly
CUGAAAAUUAUUUUACCAUGACUGAAAUAAGCACACCACAUAUCUGUUUGGCAACUAACCUCCCUACAAAAAUAAUUACUAGUAAUACAAGUAUUAAUCUACCUCUCCCCUUUUCAGGAUGUUUGACUAAUGUUACCUGGUUAGAUCUUAAUGGCACCCAAUAUUAUUUUAGCGACACAAUCACUUGAGACAAACAUAUUAAUAUAUUAAUGCCC